RNAcentral lists this long non-coding RNA (351 nucleotides) under Elaeis guineensis (African oil palm). RNAcentral describes it as "long non-coding RNA (EGUI_LNC082343)". Lineage: Eukaryota; Viridiplantae; Streptophyta; Magnoliopsida; Arecales; Arecaceae. The record is from RNAcentral.
UAGGGGCUAAACGGUGACAGACUGAAAUAAAGUCGCACUGAAACUAAGGGAUGCGAAUUGCAGCUGCCUCCAUCACUUAACCAAUGUUUCCUGUUGGGCACCAACUAAAGGUGCAUUUGAUUAGCUAUUAAAAAAAUAUUUUUAUUUAUUUUUAAUUUUUUAAAAAUAAAAUUAAAAAAUAAUGUUCGAUAACAUCAUAAAAAGUAAAAAUCAAAAAUUAAAAAAAUUAAAAUAAUUACUUUAUAUACAAAACAAAAAUUUUUACUCUCAAAAAUUUAUUUUUUAUUUUUUUACUUUUUCACAUCUAAAAUAUCUAAUUAAAAAGUAAAGAGCCCAAAUCCUUCUCUCCUC